This 500-nucleotide ribosomal RNA is filed under the name uncultured bacterium. Its description in RNAcentral is "bacterial SSU rRNA". It matches the Rfam family "Bacterial small subunit ribosomal RNA", at positions 862 to 1367 of the family's 1533-position model. The record is from RNAcentral.
AAGUAUCCCACCUGGGAGUACGAUCGCAAGGUUGAAACUCAAAGGAAUUGACGGGGGCCCGCACAAGCGGUGGAGUAUGUGGUUUAAUUCGAAGCAACGCGAAGAACCUUACCAGGGCUUGACAUCCCGGUGACCGUCCUAGAGAUAGGAUUUUCCCUUCGGGGACACUGGAGACAGGUGGUGCAUGGUUGUCGUCAGCUCGUGUCGUGAGAUGUUGGGUUAAGUCCCGCAACGAGCGCAACCCUUAUUGUUAGUUGCUACGCAAGAGCACUCUAGCGAGACUGCCGUUGACAAAACGGAGGAAGGUGGGGACGACGUCAAAUCAUCAUGCCCCUUAUGUCCUGGGCCACACACGUACUACAAUGGUGGUCAACAGAGGGAAGCAAAGCCGCGAGGUGGAGCAAAUCCCUAAAAGCCAUCCCAGUUCGGAUCGCAGGCUGCAACCCGCCUGCGUGAAGUUGGAAUCGCUAGUAAUCGCGGAUCAGAAUGCCGCGGUGAAU